UGAUUAAGAGAACACAAUCGAAU
This 23-nucleotide microRNA is filed under the name Brugia malayi. RNAcentral describes it as "bma-miR-5365b". RNAcentral also lists the same sequence under 1 other name. The record is from miRBase by way of RNAcentral. Lineage: Eukaryota; Metazoa; Nematoda; Chromadorea; Rhabditida; Onchocercidae.